Molecule: ribosomal RNA, 253 nt
Filed under: uncultured bacterium
Lineage: Bacteria
Description: partial 16S ribosomal RNA
Rfam family: Bacterial small subunit ribosomal RNA
Source: RNAcentral
UACGUAUGGUGCAAGCGUUAUCCGGAUUUACUGGGUGUAAAGGGAGCGCAGGCGGCACGGCAAGCCUGAUGUGAAAGCCCGGGGCUCAACCCCGGGACUGCAUUGGGAACUGCCCUGCUGGAGUGCCGGAGGGGCAGGCGGAAUUCCUAGUGUAGCGGUGAAAUGCGUAGAUAUUAGGAGGAACACCAGUGGCGAAGGCGGCCUGCUGGACGGUGACUGACGCUGAGGCUCGAAAGCGUGGGGAGCAAACAGG